CCUACGGGGGGCUGCAGUGGGGAAUUUUGCACAAUGGGGGAAACCCUGAUGCAGCGACGCCGCGUGAUUUAGAAGGCCUUCGGGUUGUAAAAAUCUUUUGUAUGGGAAGAAAAUGACAGUACCAUACGAAUAAGGACCGGCUAAUUACGUGCCAGCAGCCGCGGUAAUACGUAAGGUCCGAGCGUUGUCCGGAAUCAUUGGGCGUAAAGGGUACGUAGGCGGGUAAGCAAGUUAGAAGUGAAAUCCUAUAGCUCAACUAUAGUAAGCUUUUAAAACUGCUUAUCUUGAGAUAUGGAAGGGAAAGUGGAAUUCCUAGUGUAGCGGUGAAAUGCGCAGAUAUUAGGAGGAAUACCGGUGGCGAAGGCGACUUUCUGGCCAUAAUCUGACGCUGAGGUACGAAAGCGUGGGUAGCAAACAGGAUUAGAUACCCCAGUAGUC
Molecule: ribosomal RNA, 438 nt
Filed under: uncultured Anaerococcus sp.
Lineage: Bacteria; Bacillati; Bacillota; Tissierellia; Tissierellales; Peptoniphilaceae
Description: bacterial SSU rRNA
Rfam family: Bacterial small subunit ribosomal RNA
Source: RNAcentral